Lontra canadensis (Northern American river otter) is the source of this 103-nucleotide small nuclear RNA. Lineage: Eukaryota; Metazoa; Chordata; Mammalia; Carnivora; Mustelidae. The record is from RefSeq and is a predicted model, not a curated record.
GCUAGCUUCAGCAGCAGAUAUUUAAAUUGGAAUGAUACAGAGAGGAUUAGCUGAGUCCCUGCAUGAGGAAAGUGUGCAAAUUCAUGAAGCCUUCCAAUAUUUA